CGGUUAGCUGGUCUGAGAGGAUGAUCAGCCACACUGGGAACUGAGACACGGUCCCAGACUCCUACGGGAGGCAGCAGUGGGGAAUAUUGGACAAUGGGCGCAAGCCUGAUCCAGCCACGCCGCGUGAGUGAUGAAGGCCUUCGGGUCGUAAAGCUCUGUGGGGAGGGACGAACGUCCCGUUGAAGAAACGGGGGUGACGGUACCUCCUUAGCAAGCACCGGCUAACUUCGUGCCAGCAGCCGCGGUAA
RNAcentral lists this ribosomal RNA (248 nucleotides) under uncultured delta proteobacterium. RNAcentral's name for it is "partial 16S ribosomal RNA". It matches the Rfam family "Bacterial small subunit ribosomal RNA", at positions 280 to 523 of the family's 1533-position model. Lineage: Bacteria; Deltaproteobacteria. The record is from RNAcentral.